UUCAAUCUGGAUCUGCUGCUCUGAAGAGUGAAGCACUCUUGUUUAACUGAAAUCCAACCAGGUUAAGUUUUGAUUUUCUUUCUUGUUACUGUUGUUAAGUUUUGAUUUAGUUUCUGAUCUAUGUUGUUUGUUGAAGGGGUGAAGGAAACCUAAACCCAUAGCGCAUACUCCUCUUCAAACAUCAUCAUCAAUGGAUGACAAUCAAGAUCAGGGUGAUACGGGUUAUCCAGUAUUGUACUUGUUUGGCGAGGAUUAUGUAUCUGAUUUGGUUUGGAAUCAAUCAGCCAAGUCUCUUCAUCUGUUCCAGUCUUCCAGAUAUUAAUACACAAGUUUUGUUGGUUUGUGGUCCCUGAACAGUUCAUAAGGUUGGAAGUAAUUAAGCAUUUAUUUUCCAACUGCCACAUAUUAUAGGUACCACUCCACUAGUAAUGGAUCUUGACAAGAGGAACUAAUGAGUCUGAUCUUAAGGUAGGGCAGUUGAAGGAUACACGGAUGCACAAAUCUUGAGGUAGGGCGGUUAAAAGGUCAUUGGAAGAUGAUUUCAAGGUGGUUGUGGGAACUAGGGUGCCAUCAACUUUCUGAUUGUUAUCUGUAAGAAAGAAUUUGGGGCAAUGAAGGGGUGUAUACCAACUCAAGCAAGCUUGAUUUGAGGAAGGUUGAACACUUCAUUCAGGCAGUGGGUCAUAUGAGGAUGUAAUUUUCACCAAAAGAGUUAGACUUCAUCAGGUUUUUACUUUUUUCUGAACUCUUGAGAUAAUUCGAAUGCUGGAUUUCAUCAGGUCUUAUGAGGAUGUAAUUGUCAGCACAUACUAUUGCAAAAUAUGUGUUGACAGUCGGGGUUCUCCAAGUCCUAAUGUAUGUUUAUGGACAGACUCUAGCAGCACAUGCUGUGAGAUUUAUACAAAUACUGGCGUUGGAGCACCGUCAAUGAGUGAACUGCUUCGGGAUGCGCAGGUACUUCAUCAUGUAUUUGUAUUAGUACAAUUUUAUUUUUUCUCUAUAUCCAACAAUGUUAUUCCUUAUCUUUUAAAAUAUUUUGUAAGAUUCCCCUUGUGUAAUAAUAAGUUAACAGAUUUGUAUCAA
Molecule: long non-coding RNA, 1083 nt
Organism: Papaver somniferum (opium poppy)
Lineage: Eukaryota; Viridiplantae; Streptophyta; Magnoliopsida; Ranunculales; Papaveraceae
Exons: 5
Source: RefSeq, a predicted model, not a curated record